Arvicanthis niloticus (Nile rat) is the source of this 548-nucleotide non-coding RNA. Lineage: Eukaryota; Metazoa; Chordata; Mammalia; Rodentia; Muridae. The record is from RefSeq and is a predicted model, not a curated record.
GGAGGCUAGGCGCAAGGUGGCUCCCCGUGGCCCGGCGCCCCGCGGCUCCCGGGGACGCACCAAGCAGCCAAUGGAUGCGCAGAGGUGUACAGCAGAUGGCGUCCGACUGCGCCGUUCCUUCCUCCUCCUCCUCGUCCUCCUCUUCCUCCUGCUUCAGUGCUGAGCAGCCAGAGUCGCAGCCGGGUUGCCAGACGCUGGAAUGGGUGGUCUCCCGACACACACCACCAUCUUCACUGGGGAAGCUCGGGGCUCGGCGUCUCCCAGAAGCUGCAGCUGCGGCUCGGGCGAGGCUGGAUUAGGCAAGUGAAGAGCUGAAAAGUCUGAAGAAUGUUUCCAAGGAGUGAUCUGUCUGUCACUCACUGGAUUUCGAGGAGCAUGAAGAAGUUCUUUCUAGUGAUAUCUCUCCUGCUGACCCAAGCAGCUCAUUUGGAAGGCAGGAAGGAUAAUCAGUUCAUUUGGAAAACAGGUAAGAAUGUUCUGACUUCAUUUGUACCAUGGUCAUUUAGGACAAUAUUUCUUUCAUAUUUGUGGAGUAGUGGGAAAUGACC